Molecule: small nuclear RNA, 119 nt
Filed under: Trifolium pratense (red clover)
Lineage: Eukaryota; Viridiplantae; Streptophyta; Magnoliopsida; Fabales; Fabaceae
Description: snRNA U5
Rfam family: U5 spliceosomal RNA
About the family: U5 RNA is a component of both types of known spliceosome.
Source: RNAcentral
AACCGUAUGAUAAGCACAUAGCGAACUAUUCUUUUGCCUUUUACUAAAGAAUACCGUGUGCUUGUCACUCAAAGUGGUAUACGCUUAUUUUUGAAAGAGUUCUCUUGCUCUGCAAUUUU